RNAcentral lists this ribosomal RNA (1336 nucleotides) under uncultured bacterium. Its description in RNAcentral is "bacterial SSU rRNA". It matches the Rfam family "Bacterial small subunit ribosomal RNA", at positions 69 to 1399 of the family's 1533-position model. The record is from RNAcentral.
AGAGACCUUCGGGUCUCUAGUGGCGGACGGGUGAGUAACACGUAGGUAACCUGCCCCGGAGCGGGGGAUAACAUUUGGAAACAGAUGCUAAUACCGCAUAACAACAAAAGCCACAUGGCUUUUGUUUGAAAGAUGGCUUUGGCUAUCACUCUGGGAUGGACCUGCGGUGCAUUAGCUAGUUGGUAAGGUAACGGCUUACCAAGGCGAUGAUGCAUAGCCGAGUUGAGAGACUGAUCGGCCACAACGGAACUGAGACACGGUCCAUACUCCUACGGGAGGCAGCAGUAGGGAAUCUUCCACAAUGGGCGCAAGCCUGAUGGAGCAACACCGCGUGAGUGAAGAAGGGUUUCGGCUCGUAAAGCUCUGUUGUUGGAGAAGAACGUGCGUGAGAGUAACUGUUCACGCAGUGACGGUAUCCAACCAGAAAGUCACGGCUAACUACGUGCCAGCAGCCGCGGUAAUACGUAGGUGGCAAGCGUUAUCCGGAUUUAUUGGGCGUAAAGCGAGCGCAGGCGGUUGCUUAGGUCUGAUGUGAAAGCCUUCGGCUUAACCGAAGAAGUGCAUCGGACACCGGGCGACUUGAGUGCAGAAGAGGACAGUGGAACUCCAUGUGUAGCGGUGGAAUGCGUAGAUAUAUGGAAGAACACCAGUGGCGAAGGCGGCUGUCUGGUCUGCAACUGACGCUGAGGCUCGAAAGCAUGGGGAGCAAACAGGAUUAGAUACCCUGGUAGUCCAUGCCGUAAACGAUGAGUGCUAAGUGUUGGGAGGUUUCCGCCUCUCAGUGCUGCAGCUAACGCAUUAAGCACUCCGCCUGGGGAGUACGACCGCAAGGUUGAAACUCAAAGGAAUUGACGGGGGCCCGCACAAGCGGUGGAGCAUGUGGUUUAAUUCGAAGCAACGCGAAGAACCUUACCAGGUCUUGACAUCCAGUGCAAACCUAAGAGAUUAGGUGUUCCCUUCGGGGACGCUGAGACAGGUGGUGCAUGGCUGUCGUCAGCUCGUGUCGUGAGAUGUUGGGUUAAGUCCCGCAACGAGCGCAACCCUUGUCAUUAGUUGCCAUCAUUAAGUUGGGCACUCUAAUGAGACUGCCGGUGACAAACCGGAGGAAGGUGGGGAUGACGUCAAGUCAUCAUGCCCCUUAUGACCUGGGCUACACACGUGCUACAAUGGACGGUACAACGAGAAGCGAACCUGCGAAGGCAAGCGGAUCUCUUAAAGCCGUUCUCAGUUCGGACUGUAGGCUGCAACUCGCCUACACGAAGCUGGAAUCGCUAGUAAUCGCGGAUCAGCACGCCGCGGUGAAUACGUUCCCGGGCCUUGCACUCACCGCCCGUCA